AUGGAGCCAGCAUUCACAGCAGUUCUUUCCUACCAACACAAAGAAAGGCAGAAAGCACAUGUUCUCGGAGUGUGUGUCAGCAGUAAGGGAUUGGUUGGACAUAGGAAGAACAUAGAGCUAUGGUUACUUAACGGUACGGGAAGAGCACCAUCCUCUUUCACCUUUUGCUGCAUUGUUAAUGGUAAAGUAUGAAUCAUAGUUAUCGCUUGGUACGUUUUCAUCGUGAUGCAUGGUGAUUCGGAUGUGCGUAUCUGUAAUUAAUAGGAGGGAGUUGCAUGGCUAAUUCCCUGUGCAGUGCUGACAUCCUGUCUGCAGCUUUGUCCCUGAUCUUUUAGUUACGUGUCUUAAACAGCCGGUUAUUGCAUUACAUCCUUGUAUUAUAUAAAUAAAGCCUUGACCUUUGUCCUUUAUAAUAUUGGU
This 420-nucleotide long non-coding RNA is filed under the name Anas platyrhynchos platyrhynchos (common mallard). RNAcentral's name for it is "lncRNA (ENSAPLG00000017409.1)". The record is from RNAcentral. Lineage: Eukaryota; Metazoa; Chordata; Aves; Anseriformes; Anatidae.